Molecule: ribosomal RNA, 547 nt
Filed under: uncultured bacterium
Lineage: Bacteria
Description: bacterial SSU rRNA
Rfam family: Bacterial small subunit ribosomal RNA
Source: RNAcentral
UGGGGAAUAUUGCGCAAUGGGGGGAACCCUGACGCAGCCAUGCCGCGUGAAUGAAGAAGGCCUUCGGGUUGUAAAGUUCUUUCGGUAUUGAGGAAGGUUGAUGUGUUAAUAGUACAUCAAAUUGACGUUAAAUACAGAAGAAGCACCGGCUAACUCCGUGCCAACAGCCGCGGUAAUACGGAGGGUGCGAGCGUUAAUCGGAAUAACUGGGCGUAAAGGGCACGCAGGCGGUUAUUUAAGUGAGGUGUGAAAGCCCCGGGCUUAACCUGGGAAUAGCAUUUCAGACUGGGUAACUAGAGUACUUUAGGGAGGGGUAGAAUUCCACGUGUAGCGGUGAAAUGCGUAGAGAUGUGGAGGAAUACCGAAGGCGAAGGCAGCCCCUUGGGAAUGUACUGACGCUCAUGUGCGAAAGCGUGGGGAGCAAACAGGAUUAGAUACCCUGGUAGUCCACGCUGUAAACGCUGUCGAUUUGGGGGUUGGGGUUUAACUCUGGCGCCCGUAGCUAACGUGAUAAAUCGACCGCCUGGGGAGUACGGCCGCAAGGUUA